This 253-nucleotide ribosomal RNA is filed under the name uncultured bacterium. RNAcentral's name for it is "partial 16S ribosomal RNA". It matches the Rfam family "Bacterial small subunit ribosomal RNA", at positions 524 to 776 of the family's 1533-position model. The record is from RNAcentral.
UACGUAGGGUGCGAGCGUUAAUCGGAAUUACUGGGCGUAAAGCGUGCGCAGGCGGUUCGUUAAGUCAGAUGUGAAAGCCCCGGGCUCAACCUGGGAACUGCAUUUGAUACUGGCGAUCUUGAGUCCGGGAGAGGUGAGUGGAACUGCGAGUGUAGAGGUGAAAUUCGUAGAUAUUCGCAAGAACACCAGUGGCGAAGGCGGCUCACUGGCCCGGUACUGACGCUGAGGUGCGAAAGCGUGGGGAGCAAACAGG